RNAcentral lists this unclassified non-coding RNA (208 nucleotides) under Anguillospora crassa. Its description in RNAcentral is "partial internal transcribed spacer region". The stretch from base 1 to 46 matches the Rfam family "Eukaryotic small subunit ribosomal RNA", at positions 1786 to 1831 of the family's 1831-position model. The record is from RNAcentral. Lineage: Eukaryota; Fungi; Ascomycota.
AAGUCGUAACAAGGUUUCCGUAGGUGAACCUGCGGAAGGAUCAUUACAGUGUUCCCUGCCCUUCGGGGUAGGAUCGCCACCCUUGAUUAUUUAUGAGUGUUGCUUUGGCGGGGGAGCGCCCGCCAGAGGAUUCUACAAACCUGAUUAUUAGUGUCGUCUGAGUACUAUAUAAUAGUUAAAACUUUCAACAACGGAUCUCUUGGUUCUG